GGGCACCAUCCCCGGCUCGGCCUCACGGUGGCGGUGCGGGCGCGGCGGGGACACCGAGCAAGAGACCGGGUGCCUGCACGACUCCCAGAAAGUCGCGUCUCCCCUAACCCCCAUGCCCAGGACCUGAGGACAAAGGUCUAGCGAUUGUCCAUCCCCUCCCCCAGUGAGGACAGCCGGGAAAGACCUGCCUUUGUUGUGUACAGGUGGUAUCUCACUGUGUUAUCCAGACUGGACUCAAAUUUCUGGGCUCCAAUGGUCCUCUCACCUCAGCCUCCCAAGUAGUCAGGACUACAGAACUCCAUGGCAAUGUUUUGAGGAUUAAAGAGGAGAGUGAUGACUAUCCAAACGUCAGAGAACGCAACUAUGAGACUAGAGACACUGGAAAACUAAAAAAGUAACGGGCCUUUGCUGACUCAGGGAGAUGAUUUCCCAAGAGGGAAGAAAACUGGAACCUGAGAAAUAAGUGAUUUAGUAAUGUGGCUGCUAAAAUACGGAAAAACUAGAAUGAAUGGCUUACACAUUUUUGAAAUGAAGUUAGAAGAGGGUUAUACUGUGAAGAAGAAUGAAAAAGCCAAACAUUUCAUUCAGGUAAGCAUAUCACAUAGGAGAAACUCUAGGUGACUUUGGUUUGGCAGUGAGUUUUUAGAUACAACACCAAAGCACAAUCCAUAAAAGAAAAGAAAGAUAGAUAAGUUGGACUUCAUUAAAAUGAAA
RNAcentral lists this long non-coding RNA (714 nucleotides) under Homo sapiens (human). RNAcentral describes it as "HSALNT0334023". Lineage: Eukaryota; Metazoa; Chordata; Mammalia; Primates; Hominidae. The record is from RNAcentral.